CUAUAACUCUGUAGAACAGUAGGGUUGUGUGGUGUGUUACCAUCUAUAACUCUGUAGAACAGCAGGGUUGUGUUAUCAUCUAUAACUCUGUAGAACAGUAGGGUUGUGUGGUGUGUUACCAUCUAUAACUCUGUAGAACAGUAGGGUUGUGUGGUGUGUUACCAUCUAUAACUCUGUAGAACAGUAGGGUUGUGUGGUGUGUUACCAUCUAUAACUCUGUAGAACAGUAGGGUUGUGUUACCAUCUAUAACUCUGUAGAACAGUAGGGUUGUGUGGUGUGUUACCAUCUAUAACUCUGUAGAACAGUAGGGUUGUGUUACCAUCUAUAACUCUGUAGAACAGUAGGGUUGUGUUACCAUCUAUAACUCUGUAGAACAGUAGGGUUGUGUGGUGUGUUACCAUCUAUAACUCUGUAGAACAGUAGGGUUGUGUGGUGUGUUACCAUCUAUAACUCUGUAGAACAGUAGGGUUGUGUGGUGUGUUACCAACUAUAACUCUGUAGAACAGUAGGGUUGUGUGGUGUGUUACCAUCUAUAACUCUGUAGAACAGUAGGGUUGUGUUACCAUCUAUAACUCUGUAGAACAGUAGGGUUGUGUUACCAUCUAUAACUCUGUAGAACAGCAGGGUUGUGUGGUGUGUUACCAUCUAUAACUCUGUAGAACAGUAGGGAAUUGAACCAGGGUCUGUAGUGACGCCUCUAGCACUGAGAUGCAGUGUUUUCAAACACUUGGACGUUUUCACGGUGGUGGUAGUUGGGAUGGGUUCAAGUUGAUGACCUGUAUCCACUUCCAAUGCUAACACAUCAUUAAAUAGACAGAAGACAACCUUUUCAAACCUGUAUUGGUUUUGAUUGUGUGGUGGAGUUGCUGUUCAAGGUUAUGGCAAGUCGGGAUAUGCUUUAGAUACGCUUCUUGUCUUGAUCUUCAGUGACCACUAAUGACCCUUGAACUCACGAUACAUGACAUUGUAAAGCCUACUGAUGGGUGUGUAUUGAGCAAAUAUACACUGAGUGUACAAAACAUUAAGAACACCUUCCUAAUAUUGAGGAGCACCUCCCCCUUUUGCCCUCAGAACAGCCUCAACUCCUCCAGGCAUGGACUACAAGGUGUUGAAAGCGUUCCACAGGGAUGCUGGCCCAUGUUGAUUCCAAUGCUUCCCACAGUUGUGUCAAAUUGGCUGGAUGCCCAUUGGCUGGAUGCCCAUUGGCUGGAUGCCCAUUGGCUGGAUGCCCAUUGGCUGGAUGCCCAUGGGGUGGUGGACCAAUCUUGAUACACACGGAAAACUGUUGAGCGUAAAAACCCAACCCAGCUGCUGGGCAAACUUUGUUUAUUAUCUAUGCAAAGUAACUUUAACUCUACCGACAUGUAGGUAUUACCUCGACGAACUGGCACAUUGACUUUGUACCGGUACCCUCCACAUUGACUCUGUACUGGUACCUCCUGUAUAUAGCCUCCACAUUGACUCUGUACCGUAACACCCUGUAUAUAGCCUCCACAUUGACCCUGUACAGGGAACCUCCUGUAUAUAGCCUCCACAUUGACUCUGUACUGGUACCCCCUGUAUAUAGCCUCCACAUUGACUCUGUACCGUAACACCCUGUAUAUAGCCUCCAUAUUGACUCUGUACCGGUACCCCCUGUAUAUAGCCUCCACAUUGACUCUGUACCGGUACCCCCUGUAUAUAGCCUCCACAUUCUGUACCAGUACCCACCUAUAUAUAGCCUCCACAUUGACUCUGUACCGGUACCCCCUGUAUAUAGCCUCCACAUUGACUCUGUACCGGUACCCCCUGUAUAUAGUCUCCACAUUGACUCUGUACCGGUACCCCCUGUAUAUAGCCUCCACAUUGACUCUGUACCGGUACCCCCUGUAUAUAGCCUCCACAUUGACUCUGUACCGUAAUACCCUGUAUAUAUUCUCCACAUUGACUUUGUACCGGUACCCCCUGUAUAUAGCCUCCACAUUGACUCUGUACUGGUACCCCCUGUAUAUAGCCUCCACAUUGACUCUGUACCAGUACCCCCUGUAUAUAGCCUCCACAUUGACUCUGUACCGGUACCCCCUGUAUAUAGCCUCCACAUUGACUCUGUACCGUAACACCCUGUAUAUAGCCUCCACAUUGACUCUGUACCGGUACCCCCUGUAUAUAGCCUCCACAUUGACUCUGUACCGGUACCCCCUGUAUAUAGCCUCCACAUUGACUCUGUACCGUAAUACCCUGUAUAUAGUCUCCACAUUGACUCUGUACCGUAAUACCCUGUAUAUAGCCUCCAUAUUGACUCUCCAAACCUUUGACUGGUACUGUAAUACCCUGUAUAUAGCCUCCACAUUGACUCUGUACCGUAAUACCCUGUAUAUAGUCUCCACAUUGACUCUGUACCGUAAUACCCUGUAUAUGCUCCAGUUUCAACUGUUCUGCCUUACUAUUAUUCAACCAUGCUGGUCAUUUAUGAACAUUUGAACAUCUUGGCCACGUUCUGUUAUAAUCUCCACCCGGCACAGACAGAAGAGGACUGGCCACCCCACAUAUGCUCUCUCUAAUUCUCUCUUUCUUUCUCUCUCUCGGAGGACCUGAGCCCUAGGACCGUGCCCCAGGACUACCUGACACAAUGCCCCAGUCCACCUGACUGUGCUGCUGCUCCAGUUUCAACUGUUCUGCCUUAUUAUUAUUCGACCAUGCUGGUCAUUUAUGAACAUUUGAACAUCUUGGUCAUGUUCUGUUAUAAUCUCUACCCGGCACAGCCAGAAGAGGACUGGCCACCCCACAUAGCCCGGUUCCUCUCUAGGUUUCUUCCUAGGUUUUGGCCUUUCUAGGGAGUUUUUCCUAGCCACCGUGCUUUUACACCUGCAUUGUUUGCUGUUUGGGGUUUUAGGCUGGGUUUCUGUACAGCACUUUGAGAUAUCAGCUGAUGUACGAAGGGCUAUAUAAAUAAAUUUGAUUUGAUUUGAUUUUAUACAGUCUCCACAUUGACUCUGUACCGUAAUACCCUGUAUAUAGUCUCCACAUUGACUCUGUACCGUAACACCCUGUAUAUAG
Long non-coding RNA from Oncorhynchus keta (chum salmon), 3037 nucleotides. RefSeq lists it as uncharacterized. The record is from RefSeq and is a predicted model, not a curated record. The transcript has 3 exons. NCBI's taxonomy places the organism in Eukaryota, Metazoa, Chordata, Actinopteri, Salmoniformes, Salmonidae.